GUGCCCAGGCUCACAAUAUUUAUUGAGUCCUUUUAACUUCACUCUCUUUUUUUCCCUAAUGGUUGUGACAGAUAAGAAGAGACCAAGAGGAACAAAGGCAAGAUUUUCUUCCUCCACAAAUUACACACAGUGCAGGAGCCAGGAGGGAGAUCCUGAUUGAGCAUGACAGCUGGAGUGAGAUUCCAUGUGGCACCUCUAAGAGGCAUAAUAGAGAACUCAGAGCCCAGAAGGAGGACAGAGCCAACAAAAUCCUGGGAGAGGGAGCUGGAGUCUACUGUGGCUUGUGUGUCAUCACUGAUAUUUAAAUUCUGAAUGCAGAAUCUGUUUUUCUUCUGACUGGUGAGGCAUGAACCAGAAAAGACACAGCUUAAUGUUUAGAGCCCAGGUUGAGUUUACAAGCAGAACAGAAAAAACUACAAUUAUGGCAUUUUUUCCUAAAUUGAACAGGUUUGAUCUGGAAUUAAGGAAAUUAAAUAUAACAGUGUGAUUACAGAUUGAUUAAGUCACUUUCAAGACUAUAUCUGCAUUUUUAGAAGCUCAUUACAUUACAUUCCUCACUGAUCAUACAAAAAAAUA
Long non-coding RNA from Mauremys mutica (yellowpond turtle), 576 nucleotides. RefSeq lists it as uncharacterized. Lineage: Eukaryota; Metazoa; Chordata; Testudines; Geoemydidae. The transcript has 3 exons. The record is from RefSeq and is a predicted model, not a curated record.